Molecule: ribosomal RNA, 274 nt
Filed under: uncultured bacterium
Lineage: Bacteria
Description: partial 16S ribosomal RNA
Rfam family: Bacterial small subunit ribosomal RNA
Source: RNAcentral
AUACGGAGGGUGCAAGCGUUACUCGGAAUCACUGGGCGUAAAGCGCGCGCAGGCGGCCAUUUAAGUUGGAUGUGAAAGCCUACGGCUCAACCGUAGAACUGCAUCCAAAACUAUUUGGCUAGAGUGUGGGAGAGGAAGAUGGAAUUAGUUGUGUAGGGGUAAAAUCCGUAGAGAUAACUAGGAAUACCAAAAGCGAAGGCAAUCUUCUGGAACAUCACUGACGCUGAGGCGCGAAAGCGUGGGGAGCAAACAGGAUUAGAAACCCGAGUAGUCC